Long non-coding RNA from Neomonachus schauinslandi (Hawaiian monk seal), 2362 nucleotides. RefSeq lists it as uncharacterized. The transcript is spliced from 3 exons. The record is from RefSeq and is a predicted model, not a curated record. NCBI's taxonomy places the organism in Eukaryota, Metazoa, Chordata, Mammalia, Carnivora, Phocidae.
GAAAUCCUGCCUCCUCUGUAAGGUGGGAGUUAUCCGACUCCCGUCUCCAGUGGGGAAGCCAGGCUCAGGGAGGUUAAGUAGCCGGCAGAGGUUUCGCAGCUAGAAAGGGCGGCUGAGCCAGGAUUGAGGGUGCAGGCCUGUGGGCUCCCAAUGCCUGCAGCCUGAGCCCCCAGCUGGGCUGCCCCCGCCAGGCUCCUGAAGCUGCCAGAGAGGAAGGCUUGCAGGCCCUGGCAAGAAAUAGGGGGCCCGGAUCCCGCCUCUGGCUCUGCCCCUCUCGGGUGGUUAUCAGGGAUGAAGCAGGAACAGGGGUGCCAGCCCCACGUCACCAUGACCUGCCCAGUGGCCUUGGAUGGCCUCGCGGCCUCUGUAAAGGAGCUGAUGGUGCCUUCCUCUGGCAGGUAGGGCAGACUGGAUGACGUUUCAGGAUACUAUCCCAUCCCAGGAUUGCAUGAUUCUUGAAUUUCUGGAGUUUUGAAAUGAUAAAGAAUGUCUCCGUGUUCAGAGGGUCUGGGCUCCAGGGCAGAAGCCAGUCCUGUGGACGCUGAGCAUCUGUGCCCCCCAGCGCCCCGAGAGCUUCCCUUGCUUGUGGCUACCGCACGUCCAGCUCCAUUCCGUUCCCACAUACCUUGCGGAGGGUGGCUCUGCUUCUCGCCCCACAGUGCCCCGCCCCUGCCACCCCUCUCUCCAGGGUCUGCGACAAGAGUCUGUCCCACCAUCAAUCUGACCGAGGCACUGGCGUCUUGCAGACCCCUCUGUGCUUCCCCAGGUCUCAGCACUCCACACCGAGUCUCUCCCCCGCCUCAGAGACCCUCAUCUUGUUACGGAAUCUGGAAUGGAUCACCCGACGGAAGAACCAAGUGGCACCCGGAGAUCUUGGAGGAUCAGAGGUUUAUUUAACGCCGGUGGGCUCAGAGGAGAGUGGUCUCCAAAGGUCUGAGCCCCGAGCACAAAGGGGGGCAAUUUAUACACUUCUUCCUCUGCAUACUUGGCACUUUCGGCGCGUGCGCGAAGCGUGGCAGGGAGAAGAACCCGGAAGAGCCCCGGGGCAAGGACUGGGACUCUCUCACUGGCUCGGUCGGCCAUCUUAGGACACAGAUUUUCCUUAUCAAUCUAGGUCCCCAGGAUGUCCUCGCUGCCUGAGGAUUCCCUCGGCCAGAGCCACCCGUCAGGUCUGUGAUAAUUUGUGAGAGGAGCAACCGAAAAUGAAUAUACUGAGUGACAUCUCUUCUUGUGACACGUCUCAGGGAAUUGUUCUCCACGUGCACAUGUCCAGGGAUGGACGCUGGGCGGCAGGAAGCGAGGCAUCUGUGAGCUGGCAGGUCCUGGAGCCCUUAUGCCUGUGUGGCAUGUGGCAGGACCCCGUCAGCUCUACACAGAGCAGUACGCUCUCUCACACCUGUCCAUCUAGUGAACGUGUGACCCUCCGGUUUAGGAUGAUUCCUCCCAGGCUCUCGGGAGCAGGUGCGGCAGACCUACCUGGAAGCCAUGUGUUGAAGAGGCUGGGUCCCAAGACAUGGAGCGUGUGUGUCCCAGCCCCGCACCCUGUGGACUCGUGGUGUGAGCGAGGUGUGGCCUCGGUUUGUGAUACCUCGAGAUUCCUGGGUUCACUUCUUAUCUGGGCCCGGCCACCUACACUGGAGGAUUCCCCGGGUUUAGGAAGAGCCCCGUGGUCUUGAGAAGGCGCUGAGCGUGUAGCUGGAGAACAUGAGCACGAUGGGUUAGUACUGCGGGAAGCUGAGGGAACGGUCGCGGGGUUGGCGGGGUCGGGGGGGGGGGCAGACCAGCAAGGCAGAGCAGCGGCCCCGGAAGAGGAAGCCUGCCUCGGGAGAGCACUUUUCACUCUUGGAAGCUUCUCCCAAGUCUCCUGUGAUCCCGCUCUGGGUUUUUAUCUGUUUUCUUGGGGACCUCAUUCCAUGCAUCUCACAGUGGGUCCAUGGCACCUACAGCUUCUAGAACAACGAAUAAGUCAUGUUGGAUCAAGUUGAUCAGUUUUUAGGCACAGCCAGGAUAAGGACUUCUAAAAGUAAAUGGUUUUUGAAAAUAAACUUUUGAGACUUUUUAGUGGAGAAAUCCAUGAAAGCCAUUCCAGCAUCCCCUAUAAAGCACAUACAUCGGCACUUACUCUAUUAUGAGUAAAAAUCUUGCUCCCUGGAUCCUUACAGGUGAGUAUAUCCCUCCUAUAAGGCUAUUAAUACAUGAUAAGGAUAGUCCAGCACCCUUUACCAUAAAUUCUAAAUCAAAGUAUAAUGUGCAGAGACUUACUAAUUAUAUAUGCUGUGCCUACUGCCUUUGUAUUCCCAUAAAAUGACCAUUAAGGUAAAAUAGAUAAAAUCAGAAUUUUAUGCGAGGUGUCUUUAUUCUC